Molecule: ribosomal RNA, 163 nt
Filed under: uncultured bacterium
Lineage: Bacteria
Description: partial 16S rRNA
Rfam family: Bacterial small subunit ribosomal RNA
Source: RNAcentral
UAGGGAAUCUUCCACAAUGGGCGAAAGCCUGAUGGAGCAACGCCGCGUGUGUGAUGAAGGGUUUCGGCUCGUAAAACACUGUUGUAAGAGAAGAAUGACAUUGAGAGUAACUGUUCAAUGUGUGACGGUAUCUUACCAGAAAGGAACGGCUAAAUACGUGUCA